ACGGGUGGUCGGCUCCCUGCUUGAGCAGGCACGGCCACGCGUGCAUUCCUUUUCAGUUGUGCGGCAAGGCUUGUAUCGUCUUGAUCGUGUAAGUGGGUUUCUUGUGUUGCAUACCUGAUCAAUGGCAUCGUUUUGAUCAAAAGUGUACCUUUUUCGUCUGGCGAUGCACUUGUUGCAUUGUCGGAUGAACCGUGUAGCAUCCUCUUUGAUCCAUACAGUUGACGUGUAUUCGUUGAUUGUUUGGCCCGUUGAGGGUGACUUGGUCUCUCGGAUAUGGAAGCCAAAGUGGGCAUGGGUUCGCAAGAUCCUUUUAUUGCCCUCAUUGAGCGUUCUCGCUUCUCUUACACGACCGCCUUUCACGUAUGGCACGUCCCAGCGUGUUUGGCUAUGUCGAAGAGGAA
RNAcentral lists this unclassified non-coding RNA (401 nucleotides) under Chrysothamnus depressus. RNAcentral's name for it is "partial external transcribed spacer". The record is from RNAcentral. Lineage: Eukaryota; Viridiplantae; Streptophyta; Magnoliopsida; Asterales; Asteraceae.